CUCCGUGAAUCGGAGGCGGGG
This 21-nucleotide small nuclear RNA is filed under the name Arabidopsis thaliana (thale cress). RNAcentral describes it as "snRNA_01505". Lineage: Eukaryota; Viridiplantae; Streptophyta; Magnoliopsida; Brassicales; Brassicaceae. The record is from RNAcentral.